UACGUAGGGGGCAAGCGUUGUCCGGAAUCAUUGGGCGUAAAGCGCGUGUAGGCGGCUCGAUAAGUCUGCUGUGAAAGUCCAGGGCUCAACCCUGGGAUGCCGGUGGAUACUGUCGAGCUCGAGUCCGGAAGAGGCGAGUGGAAUUCCUGGUGUAGCGGUGAAAUGCGCAGAUAUCAGGAGGAACACCGAUGGCGAAGGCAGCUCGCUGGACGUGACUGACGCUGAGACGCGAAAGCGUGGGGAGCAAACAGG
Molecule: ribosomal RNA, 252 nt
Filed under: uncultured bacterium
Lineage: Bacteria
Description: partial 16S ribosomal RNA
Rfam family: Bacterial small subunit ribosomal RNA
Source: RNAcentral